UGAGGAAUUUUGCGCAAUGGGGGAAACCCUGACGCAGCAACGCCGCGUGAGUGAUGAAGGCCUUCGGGUCGUAAAGCUCUGUCGAGUGGGAAGAAACGUAUGCUGUUAACAGCAUCAUAGCUGACGGUACCAGACGAAUAAGCCACGGCUAACUCCGUGCCAGCAGCCGCGGUAAUACGGAGGUGGCAAGCGUUACUCGGAAUUAUUGGGUGUAAAGGGCAGGUAGGCGGCUAGGUAAGUGAGGGGUGAAAUCCCACGGUUCAAUCGUGGAACAGCCUUUCAAACUGCCUGGCUUGAGUGUGACAGGGGAAGAUGGAAUUCUCGGUGUAAGGGUGAAAUCUGUAGAUAUCGGGAAGAACACCAACGGCGAAGGCAAUCUUCUGGGUCACUACUGACGCUGAGCUGCGAAAGCUAGGGGAGCAAACA
Molecule: ribosomal RNA, 426 nt
Filed under: uncultured prokaryote
Description: bacterial SSU rRNA
Rfam family: Bacterial small subunit ribosomal RNA
Source: RNAcentral